AAGAGGCGUGCGGCAGAUGCCUUAACUGCAGUCCAGGGCAAUUCCUAUGCGAAAACCAUAUCAAUUCAGUUAAUGCAGGAGGUAGAUCUCUGCACCACCGGGAAGUUUGGAAGGAUGGAACUGAUUCAUGAAUGCCAUAUCAAUUUGGUGAGUGUGUAUGGACUACACCUCACAACAUGGAUCAUGGAUAUGUGCAUGACUUUAUAGCUGUUGGUUUUUGCAUGAUUAAGGACAUCUACUGGCUCUUUGUUGGAGAUUGUUUCGAGGAGUUCCUGUAUGUCCAGCAUUUUGAGUAACCUGAAGCAAUUCAAUCCUUCUUAUGAGAAUGAUGAUGAAUGUCCUGCAUGUCCUAAGGAGAAGGGAAGUUUAUUUAUCUCCAUUGAUGCAUUGUUUGGAUGUGUCCAGAAAUGCAGUGCUGGAACUAAUGGAAAGUCCUCAAAUCAUGGAGAGGAACUGUUCAUUAACCAAGAAAAAGUGGAUGCAUUUCCAGCUAAUUACAGCAAAAGACCAAGCGGCAAGUCAACAGUGUGUAAACCGAAUGACUUUUUCUCUUACUUUGUGUGUUGUUGCUUUACUCUAACCUUUUGUUACCCAUCAGUACUCAUACCACUAGUCAACCAUUGCAAUGAGAGACCAAAAGUAACAGUCAUGUUUGUUGCUGGUAAUAAUGAUGUCAGUGUUGUAUUAUUUAAAUAUAGUACAGUUUGAAGGGUCAAUUACUGAAACUGUAUAGAUUGUCA
Pocillopora verrucosa is the source of this 740-nucleotide non-coding RNA. The record is from RefSeq and is a predicted model, not a curated record. NCBI's taxonomy places the organism in Eukaryota, Metazoa, Cnidaria, Anthozoa, Scleractinia, Pocilloporidae.